AACGCGAAGAACCUUACCCAGACUUGACAUGCACUGGACAGUCCUAGAAAUAGGAUCUCCCUUCGGGGCCGGUGCACAGGUGCUGCAUGGCUGUCGUCAGCUCGUGCCGUGAGGUGUUUGGUUAAGUCCAGCAACGAGCGCAACCCUUAUCAUUAGUUGCCAACACGUAAAGGUGGGAACUCUAGUGAGACUGCCCGGGUUAACCGGGAGGAAGGUGAGGAUGACGUCAAGUCCGCAUGGCCCUUAUGUCUGGGGCUACACACGUGCUACAAUGGUCGGUACAGAAGGCAGCGAAACCGCGAGGCGGAGCAAAUCCCUAAAAACCGAUCCCAGUUCAGAUUGUAGUCUGCAACUCGACUACAUGAAGACGGAAUUGCUAGUAAUGGCAGGUCAGCAACACUGCCGUGAAUACGUUCCCGGGCCUUGGUACCACACCGGAGUGC
RNAcentral lists this ribosomal RNA (443 nucleotides) under uncultured bacterium. RNAcentral describes it as "bacterial SSU rRNA". It matches the Rfam family "Bacterial small subunit ribosomal RNA", at positions 958 to 1383 of the family's 1533-position model. The record is from RNAcentral.